AUUGAACGCUGGCGGCAGGCCUAACACAUGCAAGUCGAGCGAGCGGCGGACGGGUGAGUAAUGUAUGGGGACUGCCCGAUAGAGGGGGAUAACUACUGGAAACGGUAGCUAAUACAGCAUACUAUCGGAUAACCCAUAUGGGAUUAGCUAGUAGGUGAGGUAAUGGCUCACCUAGUCGAGGAUCCCUAGCUGGUCUGAGAGGAUGAUCAGCCACAUUGGGACUGAGACACGGCCCAACCUCCUACGGAGGCAGCAGUGGGGAAUAUUGCACAAUGGGCGAAAUCCUGAUGCAGCCAUGCCGCGUGUAUGAAGAAGGCCCUAGGGUUGUAAAGUACUUUCAGUCGGGAAGCGUUACCGACAGAAGAAGCACCGGCUAACUCCGUGCCAGCAGCCGCGGUAAUUC
This 403-nucleotide ribosomal RNA is filed under the name uncultured bacterium. Its description in RNAcentral is "partial 16S ribosomal RNA". It matches the Rfam family "Bacterial small subunit ribosomal RNA", at positions 30 to 526 of the family's 1533-position model. The record is from RNAcentral.